GAACAGUUGAGUUUGGUAGUUCCGUCAGAGAGGAUGAGACAGAGAGGAGAGAGAUCCAGCUGCAGUCAGGUGACAGAGAGAGUGUUGCGGGAGGGGCCCGCUGCCCCGCAACGGAGGGACACAGUCAGGCUACCGGAAUCACUGUGGCAUUCGGACAAGGCACCAAGCUGAUUGUGACAAGCUCAAGCUUCCCUCCUCCUGUGCUGACAGUCUUCCCUCCGUCCAGCGCUGAGCUCCAGUCCAACACAGCCACUCUGGUCUGUCUGUCCAGUCAGUCUGUGCCUUUUGCAGAUGUGAGCUGGGUGUCUGGUGGGAGUCCAGUGAGCAGUGGGAUCUCUACCAGCACCGCUGUUCAGAAACCAGACCAGACUUUCCAAAUCAGCAGCUAUCUGGCCAUCCAGACGUCAGACUGGAACAUGGAUAAGGUUUACACAUGUAAAGUGUCUUUGGGCUCCCAGACUUCAGAGAAAAACAUCAAGAAGUCAAACUGUCCCACUGAAUAAUAGCAGAGGAGCAGAAUGACCAUUUCUAAUCUGCUUCUUUACUGUUUGUGCUGUUUGCUCAUUACAAGGUUUACAUGUUAGAAAAGAUAUGUCUGCAUGCUUGUAAUAAAUGUUGUGACAGUUAGGUGGAGGUGUUGUAUCAGCUUUGCAACUGCUGCAUUUUUCCAGACUUAUUCAAUAAAAAGACAUUGUGAUCAAAAAA
Non-coding RNA from Dicentrarchus labrax (European seabass), 705 nucleotides. NCBI's taxonomy places the organism in Eukaryota, Metazoa, Chordata, Actinopteri, Moronidae. The record is from the annotation of a RefSeq genome assembly.